GUACUCCAUUCUGCAGCAAAUAUACUAAAAUUGGAAUAAUACAGAGAAGAUUAGCAUGCCCCUGUGCAAGGAUGACAUGCAAAUUUGUGAAGCCAUUCAGAUUUUU
RNAcentral lists this small nuclear RNA (106 nucleotides) under Canis lupus familiaris (dog). Lineage: Eukaryota; Metazoa; Chordata; Mammalia; Carnivora; Canidae. The record is from RNAcentral.